RNAcentral lists this long non-coding RNA (642 nucleotides) under Prunus dulcis (almond). Its description in RNAcentral is "sRNA ncRNA". The record is from RNAcentral. Lineage: Eukaryota; Viridiplantae; Streptophyta; Magnoliopsida; Rosales; Rosaceae.
AUGAAUGAUAUCGAUUAUGCUAUUACCCAAGACGAGCCAACCAGACCUGUUGCGAAUUCCCCUACUGAAGUGAAAAAGGUGCAUGAAGCUUAGAGGAUGGCGAAUAAGAAGUGUCUUUUGCUUAUGAAGAAGACAAUUUCGGAAGCCGUUUUUGGUGGAGUUGAAGAAACAAAAGGUGCCAAGCAGUUUAUGGAAUCAAUUGAAAGGAAGUUUAAGGAAUCUAACAAGGCUGAAACGAAGAACCUCAUGUCUAGGCUGGCUAAUACGAAGUAUGAAGGAGGGAGUGUGAGAGAACAUCUCAUGGGACUCGUGGAUAUUGCUACCAAACUGAACAUGUUGAAAGUACCUAUUGAUCCGACUUAUCUAGUGCACAAUGCACUGGAUUCUCUACCUUAUGAUCAGAUGAAAUCCACCUAUAACACCCUGACGGAGGAUUGGACAAUGGAUGACUUGAUUACAAUCGUUAUUCUUGAGAAUAGGACACAAGCUUAUAGUGGUGUUGUUAACAUGGUCACUACCAAGAAGUAUGAGAAUAAGGAUGUUGCAAAAUGGAAAGUAAAGAAACUACUAGACCAACUUCGUCUAGUCACUUCUCUUCAUGACAUGCUCACGAGAACAGAGCAGAUAUUUCUGCAUGACUAG